Molecule: microRNA, 21 nt
Filed under: Arabidopsis thaliana (thale cress)
Lineage: Eukaryota; Viridiplantae; Streptophyta; Magnoliopsida; Brassicales; Brassicaceae
Description: ath-miR847
Gene: ath-miR847
Source: miRBase by way of RNAcentral
UCACUCCUCUUCUUCUUGAUG